Molecule: ribosomal RNA, 427 nt
Filed under: uncultured Lysobacteraceae bacterium
Lineage: Bacteria; Pseudomonadati; Pseudomonadota; Gammaproteobacteria; Lysobacterales; Lysobacteraceae
Description: bacterial SSU rRNA
Rfam family: Bacterial small subunit ribosomal RNA
Source: RNAcentral
UGGGGAAUAUUGGACAAUGGGCGAAAGCCUGAUCCAGCCAUGCCGCGUGUGUGAAGAAGGCCUUCGGGUUGUAAAGCACUUUUGUACGGGAAGAAAAGCAACUGGUUAAUACCCGGUUGUUCUGACGGUACCGUAAGAAUAAGCACCGGCUAACUUCGUGCCAGCAGCCGCGGUAAUACGAAGGGUGCAAGCGUUACUCGGAAUUACUGGGCGUAAAGCGUGCGUAGGUGGUUUGUUAAGUCUGAUGUGAAAGCCCUGGGCUCAACCUGGGAAUGGCAUUGGAUACUGGCAGUCUAGAGUGUGGGAGAGGGUAGCGGAAUUCCCGGUGUAGCAGUGAAAUGCGUAGAUAUCGGGAGGAACAUCCGUGGCGAAGGCGGCUACCUGGACCAACACUGACACUGAGGCACGAAAGCGUGGGGAGCAAACA